This is an RNA transcript of Orcinus orca (killer whale), 1789 nucleotides long. It is a transcript of the gene named 3-hydroxyanthranilate 3,4-dioxygenase, with no coding region annotated. The record is from RefSeq and is a predicted model, not a curated record. NCBI's taxonomy places the organism in Eukaryota, Metazoa, Chordata, Mammalia, Artiodactyla, Delphinidae. The transcript is spliced from 10 exons.
GCUGGGCCAGGCGGCGCGGAGCGCGCGGGGGCUCCAGACCAAAGUCCGAGAGGGGCCACAGCGCGUCACGGGCGGUUGCCCCGCCCUUUGACCCUCGGGAUGCUGAUUAACCAGGCGGCCAAUAGGCGGUCGGGCAGAGGCGCGCACCUCCGACGGCGCGGAACACACGGCUCUGGAGCGCGGCUCCUGGGGGACCAUGGAGAGCCCCGUGAGAGUGAAGGCUUGGGUGCAGGAGAACCGCGCCUCCUUCCUGCCCCCGGUCUGCAACCAGCUCCUGCACCAGAAGCAGCUCAAAAUCAUGUUCGUCGGGGGUCCCAACACCAGGAAGGACUACCACAUCGAGGAGGGUGAGGAGGUGUUUUACCAGCUGGAAGGCGACAUGCUUCUCCAAGUCCUGGAGCAAGGGAGACGCCGGGAUGUGGUCAUUCGGCAGGGAGAGAUCUUCCUCCUGCCCGCUGGGGUCCCCCACUCUCCACAGAGGUUUGCCAACACAGUGGGGCUGGUGAUUGAGCGGAGGCGGCUGAAAACGGAGCUAGAUGCACUCAGGUACUACGUAGGCGACACCACUGACGUCCUGUUUGAGAAGUGGUUCUACUGCGAGGAUCUCGGCACACAGUUGGCCCCCAUCAUCCAGGAGUUCCUUAGCUCUGAGCAGCACAGAACAGGAAAACCCAACCCCGACCAGCUGCUCAAGGAACCGCCAUUCCCCCUGAGCACACGGUCCGUCAUGGAGCCCAUGUCGCUGGAGGCCUGGUUGGCUGGCCACCGCAAGGAGCUGCACGCUGGCAUACCCCUCAGCCUGUUUGGAGACACCUAUGAGACCCAGGUGAUGGUCUGUGGACAAGGCAGCAGCGAAGGCCCGAGACAGGACGUUGACGUGUGGCUGUGGCAGUUGGCAAGUGGGCCCGGGGGUGGGGCGGGGGGGGCACAGCCUCCUGCCUGCCCGUGAGGACCAAGCUGCUCCUGGGGUGUCCACAGCCCGGACCGGCUCCCGGGCCUCCUUGCCAAGGCUGACUCAGGGACGCUCGGACAGGUGCCGCGGCCUGACAGCCUCCAUUUGUUUCUCCUAUUCCUCUUUCCUAGGAGGGCUCCUCAGUGGUGACGAUGGAAGGACAGCGCCUGAGCCUGACCCCCGAUGACAGCCUCCUGGUGCCAGCUGGGACCGCGUACAGCUGGGAACGAGGGCAAGGCUCCACGGCCCUGUCUGUGACUCAGGACCCUGCCCGCAAGAAGCCCCUGGGGUGACCGAUCCUCAUGCUGCGGGCCCAGAGCUGCCACAGGUGCCCCCGAGCGCCACCCCUGCCAAGUAACCCUCCCAGCCCCACCGCUUCUACGUGCACUGCUGCCGAGUGACUCAGGGUCUCCUGGGCCGGGUCCUGGACAUCACUGUCAUCCAUCCUCCUCCUGUCCUCUCCAGGAUUGCCAGGCUCAGCACAGCACCUGCCUGCUGCCAAGAAGGUCCUUAGUAAAGGCUUCCUGACAGACGGGCAUCUACGGGUCUGCACACACACAGCCUGUGAUCUUUGCCAGACACCUGGUGCUCCCAUGACUGUGUGCGUGUGCAGGGGGGAGGGAGAUCUGGAGCGCUGGUGACCGUGGACCUUGUGGAGAGUCUGUGAUCGGGUCCCCCUGCUUGUAGAGAAGCCCUCAUGCUCUGUGUGUGGCGCCUCCAUGCGAGCUCCUAUGCCUGUCCUGCGGCACAGCUGAUGUCCCUCUGCCUCUUUCUCUUUCUCACUUACUCUUUUUACAUAACUUUAAAAUAUAGCAUCUGUUGAGGUUUCUCUCCCCA